RNA transcript from Cercocebus atys (sooty mangabey), 579 nucleotides. It is a transcript of the gene named Ig heavy chain V-I region V35-like, with no coding region annotated. The transcript is spliced from 4 exons. The record is from RefSeq and is a predicted model, not a curated record. Lineage: Eukaryota; Metazoa; Chordata; Mammalia; Primates; Cercopithecidae.
AUGGAAAUGGCCAGGAACCUCCAGGUUCUCAGGGCGAGAAUCCACCUAGAUCCCUGCAUGGCUGUAUUACCAGGAGACAAAAUCUCUGAUAAAACACCGAGACCUUCUUCAGGCAGACAACCCGUUUUUACAUCCUUAUCAUCACCCAACAGCCACACCCCUCCUCGGGACCACACCCCACCAACAGCACAGCUCCUCACCGUGGACACGACCCACAGGAGCCUCUUCUUGGUGGCAGCAGCCACAGGUGCCCACUCCCAGGUGCAACUGGUGCAGUUUGGGCCUGAGGUGAAGCAGCCUGUGGCCUCAGUGAAGGACUUCUGCAAGGCUUCUGGUUACAGCUUUACCACCUAUGGUAUGAAUUGGGUGAGACAGGUCCCUGGAGAAGGGCUUGAGUGGAUGGGAUGGGUGAACACCAACCCUGGGAACCCAACGUAUGCCCAGGGCUAAACAGGAUGGUUUGUCUUCUCCAUGGACACUUCUGUCAGCACAGUGCAUCUGCAGAUCAGCAGCCUAAAGGCUGAGGACACGGCCGUGCAUUACCGUACGAGAGACACAGUGUGGAAACCCACAUCCUGA